UGGGGAAUCUUGGACAAUGGGCGCAAGCCUGAUCCAGCCAUGCCGCGUGGAUGAUGAAGGCCUUAGGGUUGUAAAAUCCUUUUCGUGGGGGACGAUAAUGACGGUACCCCAAGAAGAAGCUCCGGCUAACUUCGUGCCAGCAGCCGCGGUAAUACGAAGGGGGCUAGCGUUGUUCGGAUUUACUGGGCGUAAAGCGCGUGUAGGCGGGUCGUUAAGUUGGGGGUGAAAUCCCGAGGCUCAACCUCGGAACUGCCUUCAAAACUGGCGACCUGGACUCAAGCAGAGGCAAGUGGAAUUGCGAGUGUAGAGGUGAAAUUCGUAGAUAUUCGCAGGAACACCAGUGGCGAAGGCGACUUGCUGGGCUUGUAGUGACGCUGAGACGCGAAAGCGUGGGGAGCAAACAGGAUUAGAUACCCCCGUAGUCCCUGAGCGGGCUGGCAAGGCGCAU
RNAcentral lists this ribosomal RNA (448 nucleotides) under uncultured bacterium. Its description in RNAcentral is "bacterial SSU rRNA". It matches the Rfam family "Bacterial small subunit ribosomal RNA", at positions 355 to 825 of the family's 1533-position model. The record is from RNAcentral.